UAAUAAUUUAGAUGAAGCUAAAAUAAAGUCACUUCUUCAUCCAAAUAAUUUUAUAUAGAUAACGGCAAACACUGCUCUCAAGACACCCGGUACGCGAUGCAUGGAAUGCAGUUUACAUUCCGGCGUAUAUGUAGGUAAAACGGACACACAGCGAUUGAGAUGCAAGCGCGCAAGCGCACGCUACCGGCGCGAUCGUACGGCACAAACGCAGUUGUUCUUGCGUGAAAACGCUGAUUUAGCACCGGUCGAAUUAGUAUUUGGUAACACCUUCGCCUCACGUAAAACAUCUUCAGCUGAAGCGCGCGGCCGGCUGAUUUCUCGCGGUAAGCGCGCGUUAUCAAGAAACGGACUCCUCGAUAAACAGUCGCUGUCCUAAAGUUGGAAGCAUCAAACUAUUUCGAGCGCCAAUCUCAUCUCGAGAGCGUGAUAAUACUUGUAAAUAAUACUAAUUGCGAUCGCUAAUUGUUUCGUGCUGGAGUAUUUAUGGACGCGCGAUUAUUGCAAAACGAUGUUCGGUCGCGCAAUCUCGAAGAACAGAACCAUCAUAGGUGGCAGGCGAUUGACAAGCAGUCGACGGUAAUGCGAGCCAAUUAACGAAUUAGCGAGCGAAUUAAGAUCCAAUCUCUAAGUAACUGUUGGCGCUGUACAGUCACGCUCGAUGUCGUAUAUCUACCCUAUAGAUCUAUGGGGAUAAUUGGAUUUUCUAUGCCAAGCGCGAGUGUUGGUUGGGGUAUCGAGAAAGUCGAAAUAUGGUAGAGUUGGACACGAGCACA
This is a long non-coding RNA of Solenopsis invicta (red fire ant), 773 nucleotides long. RefSeq lists it as uncharacterized. The record is from RefSeq and is a predicted model, not a curated record. NCBI's taxonomy places the organism in Eukaryota, Metazoa, Arthropoda, Insecta, Hymenoptera, Formicidae. The transcript has 2 exons.